Molecule: ribosomal RNA, 253 nt
Filed under: uncultured bacterium
Lineage: Bacteria
Description: partial 16S ribosomal RNA
Rfam family: Bacterial small subunit ribosomal RNA
Source: RNAcentral
UACGAAGGGGGCUAGCGUUGUUCGGAAUUACUGGGCGUAAAGCGCGCGUAGGCGGUUACUCAAGUCGGAUGUGAAAGCCCUCGGCUUAACUGAGGAAGUGCACCCGAAACUGAGUAGCUAGAGUACUAAAGAGGGUCGCGGAAUUCCCGGUGUAGAGGUGAAAUUCGUAGAUAUCGGGAGGAACACCGGUGGCGAAGGCGGCGACCUGGGUAGAUACUGACGCUGAGGCGCGAAAGCGUGGGGAGCAAACAGG